AAUGAACGCUGGCGGCAGGCCUAACACAUGCAAGUCGAACGGAUCCUUCGGGAUUAGUGGCGGACGGGUGAGUAACGCGUGGGAACAUACCCUUUGGUACGGAAUAGCCUCGGGAAACUGGGAGUAAUACCGUAUGUGGUCGAGAGACGAAAGAUUUAUCGCCAAAGGAUUGGCCCGCGUUGGAUUAGGUAGUUGGUGGGGUAAUGGCCUACCAAGCCGACGAUCCAUAGCUGGUUUGAGAGGAUGAUCAGCCACACUGGGACUGAGACACGGCCCAGACUCCUACGGGAGGCAGCAGUGGGGAAUCUUAGACAAUGGGGGAAACCCUGAUCUAGCCAUGCCGCGUGAUCGAUGAAGGCCUCAGGGUUGUAAGGAUCUUUCAGGUGGGAAGAUAAUGACUGUACCACCAGAAGAAGCCCCGGCUAACUCCGUGCCAGCCGCCGCAGUAA
RNAcentral lists this ribosomal RNA (449 nucleotides) under uncultured bacterium. Its description in RNAcentral is "partial 16S ribosomal RNA". It matches the Rfam family "Bacterial small subunit ribosomal RNA", at positions 29 to 523 of the family's 1533-position model. The record is from RNAcentral.